CAAUAGCGUAUAUUAAAGUUGUUGCGGUUAAAAAGCUCGUAGUUGGAUCUCGGCGAGUAGGGGGCGGUUAGUUGCUUAACUGUACUGCUCCAUUUACUCGUGUUUUUGACGGAGGUUGCCGGGUGCUCUUCAUCGAGUGUCCGGUGAUGCCGUCAGGUUUACUUUGAAAAAAAUAGAGUGCUCAAAGCAGGCUUCACACGCUUGAAUAUUCGUGCAUGGAAUAAUAGAAUAGGACGUCGUUUCUAUUUUGUUGGUUUUCGGAAAUUGACGCAAUGAUUAAUAGGGACAGUCGGGGGCAUUAGUAUUCAAACGACAGAGGUGAAAUUCUUGGACCGUUUGAAGACUAACUACUGCGAAAGCAUUUGCCAAGAAUGUUUUCAUUAA
This 384-nucleotide ribosomal RNA is filed under the name uncultured eukaryote. Its description in RNAcentral is "partial 18S ribosomal RNA". It matches the Rfam family "Eukaryotic small subunit ribosomal RNA", at positions 592 to 976 of the family's 1831-position model. The record is from RNAcentral.